AGUGAACGCUGGCGGUAGGCCUAACACAUGCAAGUCGAACGGCAGCACAGUAAGAGCUUGCUCUUACGGGUGGCGAGUGGCGGACGGGUGAGGAAUACAUCGGAAUCUACUUUUUCGUGGGGGAUAACGUAGGGAAACUUACGCUAAUACCGCAUACGACCUACGGGAGAAAGCAGGGGAUCUUCGGACCUUGCGCGAAUGAAUGAGCCGAUGUCGGAUUAGCUAGUUGGCGGGGUAAAGGCCCACCAAGGCGACGAACCGGAGCUGGUCUGAGAGGAUGAUCAGCCACACUUGAACUGAGACACGGUCCAGUCUCCUACGGGAGGCAGCAGUGGGGAAUAUUGGACAAUGGGCGCAAGCCUGAUCCAGCCAUACCGCGUGGGUGAAGAAGGCCUUCGGGUUGUAAAGCCCUUUUGUUGGGAAAGAAAAGCAGCAGGUUAAUACCCCGCUGUUCUGACGGUACCCAAAGAAUAAGCACCGGCUAACUUCGUG
RNAcentral lists this ribosomal RNA (492 nucleotides) under uncultured bacterium. RNAcentral describes it as "partial 16S ribosomal RNA". It matches the Rfam family "Bacterial small subunit ribosomal RNA", at positions 29 to 507 of the family's 1533-position model. The record is from RNAcentral.